CCAAAGGCUCUUUUUGGAGCCACUCACUUGACAGGAAAAGACCUG
Molecule: non-coding RNA, 45 nt
Organism: Sus scrofa (pig)
Lineage: Eukaryota; Metazoa; Chordata; Mammalia; Artiodactyla; Suidae
Source: Rfam